UGAAUGAUUCAUCAAUUGAUACCAACUAGGAGCUGCCGCUAACCUCUGCUCAGCGUAACAAAAUUACAAUCAUCUCCUUUUGCAUCAACUUGUCCUAGUCAAUUGUGGGAUGCCAUCACUCGUGCAGCUAUCAGGCAGGGCUUCUACAUGAUAAUUGAUACAAUAAUAUUUCAAUUCAGGCAGUCUCUGGCGAUUAACCCAUGCCGGCAACCUUUUGUGAUGGUAAUGCCUGAGAUACAGCUGCUCAAUUUUUGGGGGAGGAGAAAGCCGAUCUAGCAUCCUUAGCAUACUAUCUCCUUCUGAGAGCUUUUCUGUGUCAAAAUCAAUGGCUAGAACCUUGAGUUUCUCAAGCUUUAAAAAGACAUUCUGCUCUUCUUCUGUUAUUUCGCUUUCUUUACUCCAAAGCAUUCGCAAUACUCUUAACUCGCCUAGUUCUCCAAGUUCAUGAACUGAACAGCUGCUUCUGGUUUUUAUUUUUGAUAAGCAGAAGCUUCUUCUGUUAUCCUGAGCCACCACUCUGAAUCCAGACAAUUCUUGGAGCUGGGAGAGCCUCCCUAGUCCACGAGGUAGGUAUGGAAGCUUUUUACAAGAGUAUAGGUCCAUUACUGUCAACUUUUUCAGACAAGUGAUUGAAGGACUUAGUUUGGAUAGCAUACUGCAUCCCCUUAAAAUUAAGAGCUGGAGGUUUCUGAGUUUGCAAAUCGAAUGUGGAACUUCUUGGAGUUGCUUGGCUCCACUUAGAUUUAGAUAUGCUAGGCGUUUGAUGGAGCUANNNNNNNNNNNNUCAUCAAUUGAUUAUUGUCAAGCGUAUUGUUAGACAAGUCCAACGCCCUGAGUGAACGAAGUGAACCCAAAUUCCUGUGGAAUGGAGCGCGAUUGCU
Molecule: unclassified non-coding RNA, 881 nt
Filed under: Hevea brasiliensis (rubber tree)
Lineage: Eukaryota; Viridiplantae; Streptophyta; Magnoliopsida; Malpighiales; Euphorbiaceae
Source: RNAcentral